AUUGAACGCUGGCUGCAGGCCUAACACAUGCAAGUCGAGCGAGCGGAGGACGGGUGAGUAAUGUCUGGGAAACUGCCUGAUGGAGGGGGAUAACUACUGGAAACGGUAGCUAAUACCGCAUACCCUCAGAUGUGCCCAGCUGGGAUUAGCUAGUAGGUGUGGUAACGGCUCACCUAGGCGACGAUCCCUAGCUGGUCUGAGAUGAUGACCAGUCACACGGGCACUGAGACACGGUCCAGACUCCUACGGGAGUCAGCAGUGGUGAAUAUUGCACAAUGGGCGCAAGCCUGAUGCAGCCAUGCCGCUUGGGUGAAGAAGGCCGUCGGGUUGUAAAGCACUUGCAGCGGGGAGGCGUUACUCGCAGAAUAAGCACCGGCUAACUCUGUGCCAGCAGCCGCGGUAAUUC
Molecule: ribosomal RNA, 406 nt
Filed under: uncultured bacterium
Lineage: Bacteria
Description: partial 16S ribosomal RNA
Rfam family: Bacterial small subunit ribosomal RNA
Source: RNAcentral